UACAGAGGUCUCAAGCGUUGUUUGGAUUCAUUGGGCGUAAAGGGCGCGUAGGCGGCCUUCUAAGUCGGACGUGAAAUCCCUCGGCUUAACCGAGGAACUGCGUCCGAUACUGAAAGGCUUGAAUCCGGGAGAGGGAUGUGGAAUUCCAGGUGUAGCGGUGAAAUGCGUAGAUAUCUGGAGGAACACCGGUGGCGAAGGCGGCAUCCUGGACCGGCAUUGACGCUGAGGCGCGAAAGCUAGGGGAGCAAACGGG
RNAcentral lists this ribosomal RNA (253 nucleotides) under uncultured bacterium. RNAcentral's name for it is "partial 16S ribosomal RNA". It matches the Rfam family "Bacterial small subunit ribosomal RNA", at positions 524 to 776 of the family's 1533-position model. The record is from RNAcentral.